This 73-nucleotide transfer RNA is filed under the name bacterium. RNAcentral describes it as "tRNA-Ala". It matches the Rfam family "tRNA". From Rfam's summary of the family: Transfer RNA (tRNA) molecules are approximately 80 nucleotides in length. Their secondary structure includes four short double-helical elements and three loops (D, anti-codon, and T loops). Further hydrogen bonds mediate the characteristic L-shaped molecular structure. tRNAs have two regions of fundamental functional importance: the anti-codon, which is responsible for specific mRNA codon recognition, and the 3' end, to which the tRNAs corresponding amino acid is attached (by aminoacyl-tRNA synthetases). tRNAs cope with the degeneracy of the genetic code in two manners: having more than one tRNA (with a specific anti-codon) for a particular amino acid; and 'wobble' base-pairing, i.e. permitting non-standard base-pairing at the 3rd anti-codon position. The record is from RNAcentral. RNAcentral also lists the same sequence under 2 other names.
GGGGGCGUAGCUCAAUUGGUAGAGCACCUGCCUUGCACGCAGGAGGUCAGCGGUUCGAAUCCGCUCGCCUCCA